RNAcentral lists this ribosomal RNA (253 nucleotides) under uncultured bacterium. RNAcentral describes it as "partial 16S ribosomal RNA". It matches the Rfam family "Bacterial small subunit ribosomal RNA", at positions 524 to 776 of the family's 1533-position model. The record is from RNAcentral.
UACGUAGGUGGCGAGCGUUGUCCGGAAUUACUGGGUGUAAAGCGCGCGUAGGCGGUAGGCCAAGUCUGCUGUGAAAUCGCCCGGCUCAACUGGGCGCGGUCGGUGGAAACUGGUCAACUGGAGGACGGUAGAGGCGAGUGGAAUUCCCGGUGUAGUGGUGAAAUGCGUAGAGAUCGGGAGGAACACCAGUGGCGAAGGCGGCUCGCUGGGCCGGACCUGACGCUGAGGCGCGAAGGCGUGGGGAGCGAACGGG